GAAAUGCGAUAAGUAAUGUGAAUUGCAGAAUUCCGUGAAUCAUCGAAUCUUUGAACGCAUAUUGCGCCCCCUGGUAUUCCGGAGGGCAUGCCUGUCCGAGCGUCAUUACCAUCUUCAAGCGCGGCUUGUGUGUUGAGCCUUUGUUCUUUAAAUGGACAGGCUUGAAAUGCAGUGGCAAUGAUUGUCUGGUGCCCGAGCGUAUAGGGAUUUUUUAUCACCCGCUCUGUUGGCUCCAGCUAGCAUUUGUGCCCAAAACUUUUGAUUGAAUUCAAAAAACCAAAAAAAACUGACCUCGGAUCAGGCAAGGAUACCCGCUGAACUUAA
This 324-nucleotide unclassified non-coding RNA is filed under the name uncultured Eurotiomycetes. RNAcentral's name for it is "sequence contains ITS1". The stretch from base 1 to 105 matches the Rfam family "5.8S ribosomal RNA", at positions 50 to 154 of the family's 154-position model. Lineage: Eukaryota; Fungi; Ascomycota; Eurotiomycetes. The record is from RNAcentral.